GAGAAGAACGUAGCGAAAUGCGAUAAGUAAUGUGAAUUGCAGAAUUCAGUGAAUCAUCGAGUCUUUGAACGCACAUUGCGCCCAUUAGCAUUCUAGUGGGCAUGCCUGUUCGAGCGUCAUUUCAACCCUUAAGCCCUGUUGCUUAGCGUUGGGAGCCUACAGUACUGUAGCUCCCCAAAGUUAGUGGCGGAGUCGGUUUCACACUCUAGACGUAGUAAUUUUUUCUCGUCUGUAGUUGAGCCGGUCCCCUGCCGUAAAACACCCAAUUUAUCAAGGUUGACCUCGGAUCAGGUAGGAAUACCCGCUGAACUUAAGCAUAUCAAUAAGCGGAGGA
Molecule: unclassified non-coding RNA, 334 nt
Filed under: soil metagenome
Description: partial contains 5.8S ribosomal RNA, internal transcribed spacer 2, and large subunit ribosomal RNA
Rfam family: 5.8S ribosomal RNA (bases 3-119)
Source: RNAcentral